This is a long non-coding RNA of Sinocyclocheilus anshuiensis, 90 nucleotides long. RefSeq lists it as uncharacterized. The transcript has 3 exons. NCBI's taxonomy places the organism in Eukaryota, Metazoa, Chordata, Actinopteri, Cypriniformes, Cyprinidae. The record is from RefSeq and is a predicted model, not a curated record.
AUUUGCACAUCCUGUUUCGCUAAUGGGCAAAUGAUGGAGUUUUCAAAACAACUCUGCUAGGCAAUGUAAGGGACCUGACAGACCUAGUCA